Molecule: ribosomal RNA, 468 nt
Filed under: uncultured bacterium
Lineage: Bacteria
Description: partial 16S ribosomal RNA
Rfam family: Bacterial small subunit ribosomal RNA
Source: RNAcentral
GACGAACGCUUUCUUCUUUCUUAACACAUGCAAGUCGAACGGAAAGGCCCUGCUUUUGUGGGGUGCUCGAGUGGCGAACGGGUGAGUAACACGUGAGUAACCUGCCCUUGACUUUGGGAUAACUUCAGGAAACUGGGGCUAAUACCGGAUAGGAGCUCCUGCUGCAUGGUGGGGGUUGGAAAGUUUCGGCGGUUGGGGAUGGACUCGCGGCUUAUCAGCUUGUUGGUGGGGUAGUGGCUUACCAAGGCUUUGACGGGUAGCCGGCCUGAGAGGGUGACCGGCCACAUUGGGACUGAGAUACGGCCCAGACUCCUACGGGAGGCAGCAGUGGGGAAUAUUGCACAAUGGGCGGAAGCCUGAUGCAGCAACGCCGCGUGCGGGAUGACGGCCUUCGGGUUGUAAACCGCUUUCGCCUGUGACGAAGCGUGAGUGACGGUAAUGGGUAAAGAAGCAAAGGCUAACUACGUG